Molecule: ribosomal RNA, 545 nt
Filed under: uncultured bacterium
Lineage: Bacteria
Description: bacterial SSU rRNA
Rfam family: Bacterial small subunit ribosomal RNA
Source: RNAcentral
GGAAUCUUGCGCAAUGGGCGAAAGCCUGACGCAGCAACGCCGCGUGCGGGAAGAAGGCUUUCGGGCUGUAAACCGCUUUCAGUAGGAACGAAACUGACGGUACCUACAGAAGAAGGAGCGGCCAACUAUGUGCCAGCAGCCGCGGUGACACAUAGGCUCCAAGCGUUGUCCGGAUUUAUUGGGCGUAAAGAGCUCGUAGGCGGUUGAGUAAGUCGGGUGUGAAAACUUUGGGCUUAACCCAAAGAUGCCACUCGAUACUGCUUUGACUUGAGUUCGGUAGGGGAGUGGGGAAUUCCUUGUGUAGCGGUGAAAUGCGCAGAUAUAAGGAGGAACACCGGUGGCGAAGGCGCCACUCUGGGCCGAUACUGACGCUGAGGAGCGAAAGCGUGGGGAGCAAACAGGAUUAGAUACCCUGGUAGUCCACGCGGUAAACGGUGGUCACUAGGUGUGGGUCUCUUCAAACGAGAUCUGCGCCGUCGCCAACGCAUUAAGUGACCCGCCUGGGGAGUACGGUCGCAAGACUAAAACUCAAAUGAAUUGACGGA